Molecule: ribosomal RNA, 279 nt
Filed under: uncultured bacterium
Lineage: Bacteria
Description: partial 16S ribosomal RNA
Rfam family: Bacterial small subunit ribosomal RNA
Source: RNAcentral
UGCCAGCCGCCGCGGUAAUACGGAGGGGGUUAGCGUUGUUCGGAUUUACUGGGCGUAAAGAGCACGUAGGCGGUUGGGUAAGCCUCUUGGGAAAGCUCCCGGCUUAACCGGGAAAGGUCGAGGGGAACUACUUAGCUAGAGGACGGGAGAGGAGCGCGGAAUUCCCGGUGUAGCGGUGAAAUGCGUAGAUAUCAGGAGGAACACCAAUGGCGAAGGCAGUGCUCUGGGCCGGAACUGACGCUGAGGAGCGAAAGCAUGGGGAGCAAACAGGAUUAGAUA